UCGCCGACACAACUCCCGGAUCCGCCAUACUCGCCGCCCCUGCUCCAUCCCCAUCCUCACCGCAACCUCCAACUCCCCUUACCCCAUCCCCACCGCAACAGCUCCGAGCAAUGGCCGGAUACCGUGAUUGGUCGCAGGGUGCUUCAUCCUCGGCGGCCCCUUCGUUCCCUAUUCCUGCGCCCAUUCCCGAUCCAGAGGAGUUGGAGUUCAUGUCCCAGGGCCCGUCGCGCGCUCGGGCGGCUCCAUC
RNAcentral lists this long non-coding RNA (247 nucleotides) under Setaria italica (foxtail millet). RNAcentral describes it as "long non-coding RNA (SITA_LNC001932)". The record is from RNAcentral. Lineage: Eukaryota; Viridiplantae; Streptophyta; Magnoliopsida; Poales; Poaceae.